This is a long non-coding RNA of Phyllostomus discolor (pale spear-nosed bat), 100 nucleotides long. RefSeq lists it as uncharacterized. Lineage: Eukaryota; Metazoa; Chordata; Mammalia; Chiroptera; Phyllostomidae. The record is from RefSeq and is a predicted model, not a curated record. The transcript is spliced from 3 exons.
CCCGAGGGUGUUGGGCUUCAUGAAUGACAUAUGCAGACUGGGUGCACCUGUCACAGGAGAAACUCGGUUCUUCUUGCCAAUGCAGUGAAGGAUUACAGAU